Molecule: ribosomal RNA, 797 nt
Filed under: uncultured Sphingobacteriia bacterium
Lineage: Bacteria; Pseudomonadati; Bacteroidota; Sphingobacteriia
Description: bacterial SSU rRNA
Rfam family: Bacterial small subunit ribosomal RNA
Source: RNAcentral
GUCGAGCGGUAACAGGUGUAGCAAUACAUGCUGACGAGCGGCAGACGGGUGAGGAACACGUACGCAACCUCCCUCAAACCGGGGCACAACCUUGAGAAAUCAGGGCUAAUUCCCCAUAACAUUGCGAAAGGGCAUCCGAUUGCAAUUAAAGAUUCAUCAGUUUGAGAUGGGCGUGCGUCUGAUUAGGUAGUUGGUGAGGUAACGGCUCACCAAGCCAACGAUCAGUAGCUGGUGUGAGAGCACGACCAGCCACACGGGCACUGAGAUACGGGCCCGACUCCUACGGGAGGCAGCAGUAAGGAAUAUUGGUCAAUGGGCGAAAGCCUGAACCAGCCAUGCCGCGUGAGGGAUGAAGGUUCUCUGAAUUGUAAACCUCUUUUAUUUGGGAAUAAACGAUCCGUUUCUACGGAUUUUGAAGGUACCAGAUGAAUAAGCACCGGCUAACUCCGUGCCAGCAGCCGCGGUAAUACGGAGGGUGCAAGCGUUAUCCGGAUUUACUGGGUUUAAAGGGUGCGUAGGUGGAUUGGUAAGUCAGUGGUGAAAUACUACAGCGCAACUGUGGAACUGCCAUUGAUACUAUCAAUCUUGAAUGCAGUGGAGGCAGGCGGAAUGUGUCAUGUAGCGGUGAAAUGCUUAGAUAUGACACAGAACACCUAUUGCGAAGGCAGCUUGCUACACUGCGAUUGACACUGAGGCACGAAAGCGUGGGGAUCAAACAGGAUUAGAUACCCUGGUAGUCCACGCCCUAAACGAUGUUCACUCGAUCUCGGCGAUACACAGUCGGGGUCUAUGCAAAA